This 249-nucleotide unclassified non-coding RNA is filed under the name Hevea brasiliensis (rubber tree). The record is from RNAcentral. Lineage: Eukaryota; Viridiplantae; Streptophyta; Magnoliopsida; Malpighiales; Euphorbiaceae.
AGGAGAACUUCAAGAAAGAAAGAAAGAAGAAUAAAGAGAACAGCAGAAGAAGAAAUCUGUAAUUUUAGGAAGCCGUGGGUCGUUGGCUUUGAUACCAAUUGUCACUUAGGUUCUCAAGGCACCAGAACACCAAAACUGAAGAAGAAGAAGAAGAAGAAUGAAGGGAACAGAAGCGGAAGGAAGAAACAGUACAGAACAGAAGAAGAUCAAGAAAGAAGGGAUGACGGAGAGAGAGAAAAAGAGGGAGAG